Molecule: ribosomal RNA, 491 nt
Filed under: uncultured bacterium
Lineage: Bacteria
Description: partial 16S ribosomal RNA
Rfam family: Bacterial small subunit ribosomal RNA
Source: RNAcentral
GAUGAACGCUAGCUACAGGCUUAACACAUGCAAGUCGAGGGGAAACGGCAUCGAAAGCUUGCUUUUGAUGGGCGUCGACCGGCGCACGGGUGAGUAACGCGUAUCCAACCUGCCCAUCACUUGGGAAUAACCUUGCGAAAGUAAGACUAAUGCCCAAUGACAUCCCACGAAGGCAUCCGAAUGGGAUUAAAGAUUUAUCGGUGAUGGAUGGGGAUGCGUCUGAUUAGCUUGUUAGCGGGGUGACGGCCCACCAAGGCAACGAUCAGUAGGGGUUCUGAGAGGAAGUUCCCCACAAUUGGAACGGAGAACCGGUCCAAACGCUAAAGGGGGGAAGAAGGGAGGAAUAGUGGUAAAGGGGGGAGACCCUGAACCAGCCAAUGAGGGGGAAGGAUGACGGCCCUAUGGGUUGUAAACUGCUUUUAUAAGGGAAAAAAGUGGGUCACUUUGUACUUUUGGCAUGUACCUUAUGAAUAAGGACCGGUUAAUUCCGU